CUUGAGUUGGCGGCGCUGAGAGAGGCGAGCGGUGUGGAACCAGCAGAGGGCCAGACAACCAACUAGCCAGCCCAGUUAGCGACGGGACUUAUGCCCGCUAUAUGCACAUAUGUUGUAACGUAUAACCAUAUACCUAUGAGACCAUUUUUGACGCCUCCAAAGGCUCUAUGACCAUGGAAUUAUGCGGAAAUCACGUGAGAUGUAUGCAUUUAUUUACUGACUGCAUUUAAUCGCUCAAGGUUUAGCUGCUUCACUGAUAAGAUGGGAAAUUGAUCAGAUUGUUAACACGUGUAAGAUGUGAUCUUAACGACCGGAAGUAUGACGUGAUUGGAGUAGUCGACGUCACUGAUGCCUAACGGGACAAUUAGAGAGUCUGAAAGGCGUCAUCAUCUGCUGUAGGUUGUAUUGCCAUUCAAAGAGAUGAGGUCGAUGUGUAGGUGUUGUCAUGGUAUACUAUUAUGAAACCACACAAAUAGUGUACUAUGAUAUAAGUGGAAACAUUUGCCAACUCUACUAGUUCUUAACUGUGUGUAUUACACAAGUUAAACCACAAGCAAUAAUUAAACUGCAGUAUUUAUUCAAGAGGGGAAAAGAUAUGGACCGUGGAUAGCGGCUAACACUUGGACUUGUCGGGUUCUGAAAACUUGAAAGGAACGAUGAAUAAUGCAAAUCCCGUCGAAGGUCGCGUGUGCUCCUGAUCUUGAUAUCGAAUGUCUUUACGUGUUGAUAAAACCGAAAGGAAUGUUAUUCUCAAAAGAAUAACAAAAAUUUCUCCAAGACAGCAUUCAGCUCUUCACACAGCAAUUGUAGGAUGAAAGCUAUUAAUCCUAUAAGCAUGAGGGGAAAUGUUUUCAACCAUAAUUGACGAGCUGUGUGCCUUGGUUGUUAUCGCAGCUGUACAACGACGCACUUAUCGUCUUAUCACUAGCUGCUGUCGACUUAUAAUGUAUUCAUGAAGACAUUCUACCUACGUAGGAAAGUCAAUCAUCACAUAUGUCUUAUUCAAUACUUAACUUAUAUAGUUUGCUAAAGGAUAGCGGUUGCACAUACAUGGCUAUCGUUUCACAUGUAGGUCAAGAAAAAAAAUAGAAUUAAUAAUUUUUUAGAUUUAAUUUAUUAAUUUAAACAGUCUUUAUUCCCUUUUAUACAUUAAACUAUGUUAAACUAUUAAAUGUCAAAGACUUGGUAAGAUUUAUAAUACUGUUUUUACUUUAUGAUUUGUCUAAACCAUAUGUUAGAUAUAUAGAAAUUCGAUAAUCUUCAUUUCUACGUAGUAAACCUCUGUAUGAAGUCAAUUCAAUUGCAUUGAAUGUCCCUCCACCAUCAGGCCUUUAAGCUGAGAAUAAUGACUAUAUAAUACAGAAGUAAAGUUAUGUCGACACGCCCUUAGGUCGCAGAUGAAAAAAAUUUAUCGUCAAAAGUUGUAACAGUUUGUCAAGCGUAGUAGUAAAGUGGUAGUACUUGUUUUGAACACAUAUAUGUAUGUGUACAUGCAGUAGAACUAUUCUUGUAUGUAACUUAAUUGUGCUUUACAUCAUAGCGGCCAAGUACCCCGUCAUGAUCUCGUAAUAUUGCGACAAGUGGAGGCUAAAUUAAUCUGUUAUCUCAUUGGAAUUUAUAACAGUCAAGUUCACACUUGAAAGUGAAAAGAAAUUCCGA
This 1659-nucleotide long non-coding RNA is filed under the name Chelonus insularis. RNAcentral's name for it is "uncharacterized LOC118067110". Lineage: Eukaryota; Metazoa; Arthropoda; Insecta; Hymenoptera; Braconidae. The record is from RNAcentral.